UCGAUUAGCCAUGCUAGUUGCACGAGUUUAGACUCGUAGCAUAUAGCUCAGUAACACGUGGCCAAACUACCCUACAGACCGCAAUAACCUCGGGAAACUGAGGCCAAUAGCGGAUAUAACUCUCACGCUGGAGUGCCGAGAGUUAGAAACGUUCCGGCGCUGUAGGAUGUGGCUGCGGCCGAUUAGGUAGAUGGUGGGGUAACGGCCCACCAUGCCGAUAAUCGGUACAGGUUGUGAGAGCAAGAGCCUGGAGACGGUAUCUGAGACAAGAUACCGGGCCCUACGGGGCGCAGCAGGCGCGAAACCUUUACACUGCACGACAGUGCGAUAGGGGGACUCCGAGUGUGAGGGCAUAUAGCCCUCGCUUUUCUGUACCGUAAGGUGGUACAAGAAUAAGGACUGGGCAAGACCGGUGCCAGCCGCCGCGGUAAUACCGGCAGUCCAAGUGAUGGCCGAUAUUAUUGGGCCUAAAGCGUCCGUAGCUUGCUGUGUAAGUCCAUUGGGAAAUCGACCAGCUCAACUGGUCGACGUCCGGUGGAAACUACACAGCUUGGGGCCGAAAGACUCGACGGGUACGUCCGGGGUAGGAGUGAAAUCCUAUAAUCCUGGACGGACCACCAAUGGGGAAACCACGUUGAGAGACCGGACCCGACAGUGAGGGACGAAAGCCAGGGUCUCGAACCGGAUUAGAUACCCGGGUAGUCCUGGCCGUAACGAUGCUCGCUAGGUAUGUCACGCGCCAUGAGCACGUGAUGUGCCGUAAUGAAGACGAUAAGCGAGCCGCCUGGGGAAGUACGUCCGCAAGGAUGAAACUUAAAGGAAUUGGCGGGGGAGCACACAACCGGAGGAGGCUGCGGUUAUG
RNAcentral lists this ribosomal RNA (862 nucleotides) under Haloarcula sp. Its description in RNAcentral is "bacterial SSU rRNA". It matches the Rfam family "Archaeal small subunit ribosomal RNA", at positions 40 to 905 of the family's 1478-position model. The record is from RNAcentral. Lineage: Archaea; Methanobacteriati; Methanobacteriota; Halobacteria; Halobacteriales; Haloarculaceae.